UCAAAUUUAGGAUGCAAAUCAAAAUACUGAGU
Molecule: non-coding RNA, 32 nt
Filed under: Rattus norvegicus (Norway rat)
Lineage: Eukaryota; Metazoa; Chordata; Mammalia; Rodentia; Muridae
Source: RNAcentral